AUGAGUAAACAACAGAUAAAGCAUUUUCCUGAAUUCUUGCUUCUGCAAGAAGGAGAGAACUUCACCACAUACUGCAAUUCCUCAAGCACACCUUGCAGUUUACAGUGGUUUCAGCAGAGGCCUGGGGGAAGUCCUGUCCUCUUGAUGAUAUUAGCUAAGGGUGGAGAAGUGAAGACGGAGCAGAGACGGACAGAUCGGCAUGGAGAGUCCAGACAGCACAGCUCCCUGCGCCUCGUGGCUGCCCAGCUCUCAGACGUAGGAACCUACUUCUGGGCAAGGGGACAGUGCUCUGGAAGCACCUGCUGUCUGUCCCCAAACCUCACUGUGGGCUCCGGGGUCGCUCCUCCUCAUCUCUCCUCAGAGCAGACAAAGCUGAAGUCAUGA
Molecule: non-coding RNA, 384 nt
Organism: Odocoileus virginianus texanus
Lineage: Eukaryota; Metazoa; Chordata; Mammalia; Artiodactyla; Cervidae
Source: the annotation of a RefSeq genome assembly